GUGCUGGAGGUUGCAGCCCGUAUCCUCCCGGCUCAGCUCCGGCUCUGGCCGAUAGGGCUCCAGUCUGGAGUGGUUGUUCCGCCGGUGUUUAGGGCUCGACGCCACGCAGCACGAAGGUGUGUUCCCCAUGACGAAAUAAGGUUUCUGGUGGCUGUGACUGCUGCUUUGUGCCACAGCCAGCGGGUGGAUGGAGCUGGUGUCCGUGAGUUCACCUGUGGAGCCUGCAAAAACAUAACUAGGAUUUUCAAGAGAUCGUGUCCCUUCCCGCGUCUUCACUCUGACUAAAAUAUUACCACAGUCAGCGGCGGCAGGGUUGUGGAACUUACAAUUAGGGGCAUUGACAUCAUUAUGACAUCACUGGACUCCAAUGUCGACUGCUGCUUACUGCGAGUGAGUCAGGGCCUCUGCUGUUUGUCUGUGGGGAGAGUUUUUAUUUCUUUCGUUCAUGAUUAGUUCAUGACUUUCAGUUCAGGACUUCAACUUCAAUUUACAUGCAAGAUUUUUUUACACUUUUUUUUUCAUCCAUCAAUGUGCUUAGCAUGUCUUCCUGAAUCUUGCAUGGCGUUUUGACCUUCUUUUUUUUUGGAAAUCAUUUUAGCUUUCUGAACAAUGUCUAGAAUUGGAUAUUAUUUUGGGUUCUCAAGGAGAAAUGCAUGUACAAUAUGUGCUGGCAUUAUCUUUAGAUAAUGAUCGCCGCCUUAUUUGUAUGUUUUUCCCAGAAUGAAUUACAGCAUCUCACUAUUUGAACUUUACACUGCUAUUAUUUUUUAACAUGGCCUUUUCAAUUAAAUUUUCAAAUACAUGUGCCCAUGCAUUUGAUAUUUAGGUCUGUUUGGUGCUGACUGCACCCAGUGUGUAUUUGCCAUGAAGCAGAAAUAAUAUUAAUUUGGACGAAAACCAGUUGGGAUUAAGGCUGUUGUCGACCUCUGCUGUUGUUAUGUGGGGAAACAGCAAACCGAUCAAAUAUUACAACAGGAUAAGAAUCCAAUUGUUGCAAUGCAUUAAAUACUGUUUAGUGUGGACUGACAUGAAAAUGGGCAAAUAUAAAGAUCUCUGUUUUAUGUUAGAGAUUAACUAGUACUGUAUAUAACAUUUUUUUCUGAUAAACUAAUUGCGCCUUAUUACCCAACGUGAAUUAAAGCAAUUGCAAUGUUUA
This is a long non-coding RNA of Syngnathus typhle (broad-nosed pipefish), 1156 nucleotides long. RefSeq lists it as uncharacterized. The transcript is spliced from 3 exons. Lineage: Eukaryota; Metazoa; Chordata; Actinopteri; Syngnathiformes; Syngnathidae. The record is from RefSeq and is a predicted model, not a curated record.